GGUUUCGUAGCUCAGCUAGUAGAGUAUUUGCCGCGUUUGCACAUGUUGUUUCUGGCGCUAGUUCGAAUCUAGCCGAAGUUC
Paragonimus skrjabini miyazakii is the source of this 81-nucleotide non-coding RNA. The record is from the annotation of a GenBank genome assembly. NCBI's taxonomy places the organism in Eukaryota, Metazoa, Platyhelminthes, Trematoda, Plagiorchiida, Troglotrematidae.